GAUGAACGCUGGCGGCGUGCCUAAUACAUGCAAGUCGAGCGAACAGACGAGGAGCUUGCUCCUCUGUCGUUAGCGGCGGACGGGUGAGUAACACGUGGAUAACCUACCUAUAAGACUGGGAUAACUUCGGGAAACCGGAGCUAAUACCGGAUAAUAUAUUGAACCGCAUGGUUCAAUAGUGAAAGACGGUUUUGCUGUCACUUAUAGAUGGAUCCGCGCCGCAUUAGCUAGUUGGUAAGGUAACGGCUUACCAAGGCAACGAUGCGUAGCCGACCUGAGAGGGUGAUCGGCCACACUGGAACUGAGACACGGUCCAGACUCCUACGGGAGGCAGCAGUAGGGAAUCUUCCGCAAUGGGCGAAAGCCUGACGGAGCAACGCCGCGUGAGUGAUGAAGGUCUUCGGAUCGUAAAACUCUGUUAUUAGGGAAGAACAAAUGUGUAAGUAACUAUGCACGUCUUGACGGUACCUAAUCAGAAAGCCACGGCUAACUACGUG
Molecule: ribosomal RNA, 497 nt
Filed under: uncultured bacterium
Lineage: Bacteria
Description: partial 16S ribosomal RNA
Rfam family: Bacterial small subunit ribosomal RNA
Source: RNAcentral